AAAUAUGGGGAGACUUAAGGGCACUACUGAGAGGACUGAAGGUAUAGCAGCAGCUGAUAGAACUCUCUCCUCCGAUUCCAAGACCCAUUUGUAUUUCACUGAAAGCACUGACUUUUCUCAAAAACCUGGACCUUUUUCUGCCCCCCACCCCCAAACUGAAGACCCAGUUAAGAUCUACAGUGAUGAACAAAGCUAGCUUUUACUGAAUACUUGACAUCAAUUAUACUAUACAAAAAGCACAGUGUUGAAAAGUGAUACAUUUUUAAUACAAUUUAAAAGCCAUAAAUACAUUAA
Xenopus tropicalis (tropical clawed frog) is the source of this 294-nucleotide long non-coding RNA. RefSeq lists it as uncharacterized. The record is from RefSeq and is a predicted model, not a curated record. Lineage: Eukaryota; Metazoa; Chordata; Amphibia; Anura; Pipidae. The transcript has 3 exons.